Long non-coding RNA from Cannabis sativa, 1726 nucleotides. RefSeq lists it as uncharacterized. NCBI's taxonomy places the organism in Eukaryota, Viridiplantae, Streptophyta, Magnoliopsida, Rosales, Cannabaceae. The transcript has 2 exons. The record is from RefSeq and is a predicted model, not a curated record.
AUGUAAAUAAUAAAAUAGUUCACAAAUAAUAUAAUAAUAUCAAUGUUUGCAUAUGUAACUUUUUUUUUUUUUUGUUCCUUAAAUUUUUAAGUGGGUGCAUGGUACCCAAAUUAAUUGCUCGGUGUUCUUUAGUAUUUAAAUUUUAGAUGUUGUUGGCAAUUUUAAAUAUUGGUUUAGCUGUUACGCUUCCCUUUUUCAUGGUUUCCAUUAAAUUUUUUGGUGUUAUGUAUUGAAUUUGUAGGUGGAGAUGAAUGCUCUUAAGUCUUGACUCUCUAUAAUUAAUAAAAUAAAAAAUAUUAAUAAUAAUUACAAUAUUAAAAAUAAUAAUAGUGGUGUAUCAGCUUUAAAAGCCGUUGGAACCCCUCUUUUUUUUUAUUUAUAAUUUCUCUGCUAUAAUAUGGUACAUAUUUUUUAUAUUUUACUUAUUUAUUUUUUCUCUCUAAAUCUCUCUCUAUCAUCAAAACUUAAAAACACCGACUCCUCUCUCUAAUAAAGCAAUGAAUGAGUCUCUCUGUUUGUUGUAAUUACAAAAUAUAUGGUAUGUAUGUAUAUUUACUCCAAAUUUCCACUUCCUGCUCUAUAUUUCUUGGGAUUUUUUCCAACCAUAAAUACAUUUCCUGGCCUCAAUUUACAUCUUCUUCUACCACCCCCAACACUUCAAUUCUCUCUCUCCUCUUAAAUCCUCUUCUCUUCUCUCUCUCUCUCUCUUAAUUAUGCUUUAAAGAAAACCCAUCUCCCUCCUUCCUCAACUCCCCCUUAUAUAUAUAAUCAUCCCUUCCCUUCUUCUUAUAUUACCAUCUUCACUUUUUCUUCCUCUCUUUAUAAUUUCAUUCUAGUUUGUUUCUACUUUCUCUCUCUUACCACCCUUUUUACCCAACUUCAGGUUAAUACAAUUAGUCCAAUUAAUCAAAUUACACAUACAUAAAUAUGAGCCGCCGAAACGGAAGUCGUCCAAAGCUAGAUUUAAAGCUGAACCUAUCGCCGCCACGGGCAAACCCGCUGCUGGUGGAGUCGCCAAGGCGAUCGGCGACGGUAUCACCGACGUCGCCGCAGAGUUCGUGCGUGUCGUCUGAGCUGAAUCAAGAUGAGAUGAGCGUGAGAUACUCGAACAGCCCAGAAGCAACAUCCAUGGUGCUUGUGGGUUGCCCAAGAUGCCUCAUGUAUGUCAUGCUCUCAGAAGAUGAUCCCAAAUGCCCAAAAUGCAAAAGCACAGUUUUGCUUGAUUUCCUCCAUGACAACACCACUACUACUACUCCUACCUCUAAGCCUAGGAACAGCUAAGCUUAAACCCAUCAUCAUUAUUACUACUACUAUUAUAAAACAUCUUCUUCUUCUUUUUCUUCUUCUUCUUCUUUUUCUUCUCUUCUUUUUUUUUAGGAGUAUUUGUAUUAUGUUAACUAGUUCUUUUUUUUUCUUUUGGAAGUGGUGCUAUUUGCUCUCCAUUUUUUUUUAAUGCUAGAAAUUUUGGUUGAUUUUGAGUUAUGUAUUUGGAUUUGUGAUCCACAAAGAACUCGUUUGUGAUUGUGAAAAAAGUAGACAAGGAAAAUGGAGUGAAAAUAGCACUUUUUUUAGUAGUAUUUUUCUUUUCUUUUUUCGUUCUCUAAUCAUAGAAAAUAGAGGAAGGGGCAAAAUGGGGUUUUGGCAUGGGCAAAAUGUAAACCGUUAUGUUCUAACAGUAACUGCUUAAUAUUUUCUCUCAAGGAUAUUAAUUUAUUUUAUUUUCAGA